Molecule: ribosomal RNA, 491 nt
Filed under: uncultured bacterium
Lineage: Bacteria
Description: partial 16S ribosomal RNA
Rfam family: Bacterial small subunit ribosomal RNA
Source: RNAcentral
GUGAACGCUGGCGGUAGGCCUAACACAUGCAAGUCGAACGGCAGCACAGUAAGAGCUUGCUCUUACGGGUGGCGAGUGGCGGACGGGUGAGGAAUACAUCGGAAUCUACUUUUUCGUGGGGGAUAACGUAGGGAAACUUACGCUAAUACCGCAUACGACCUACGGGUGAAAGCAGGGGAUCUUCGGACCUUGCGCGAUUGAAUGAGCCGAUGUCGGAUUAGCUAGUUGGGGGGGUAAAGGCCCACCAAGGCGACGAUCCGUAGCUGGUCUGAGAGGAUGAUCAGCCACACUGGAACGGAGACACGGUCCAGACUCCUACGGGAGGCAGCAGUGGGGAAUAUUGGACAAUGGGCGCAAGCCUGAUCCAGCCAUACCGCGUGGGUGAAGAAGGCCUUCGGGUUGUAAAGCCCUUUUGUUGGGAAAGAAAAGCAGCAGGUUAAUACCCCGCUGUUCUGACGGUACCCAAAGAAUAAGCACCGGCUAACUUCGUG